AGAAUUGGAGUGGAAGGAACAUGCCUUGCUCCCCAUUGCCAUCACCCAUCUUCCACUAAAGGCCAAAGAUUUGUCAAGCCUAGAGAUUGACUGAAAAGUACUUCAACUCGCCAUUGAAUGCUUGAGCACAAACAAUCUACCCAAGGGCUUGCGUGCUUUCUUCAAUGAGGUGAAUGUGAGAACACAAUAAAUUAUAUUCAAAUGGAAGUCAUGGAGGAAACUUCCCUUUCCUUCCUCAUCCACAAAGCUGAUCAAUGGGCGCUAAAGCCCCGGGGAAGCAGCAUCUGUUGUAACUCAAGGAUUCCCCACUCGAGUCGAGGAUGAAAUUAACAGACGUGGAGCAGUUUGCAGCUCAACAUUUGUUCAAGUCUGACACAUGCACACAUCAUUAGCAACUAUAUUUGAGGAGCAAGAUCAAGGAGGCCACGGCAGAGAUACAAUAGAAGCACAAUCACAAGGAACAGUGAACGUUUGCCGAGGGCUUAAUUUGGCCAGGCAUAUGCCAACGUGUCGAAUUCUCACAGCAC
Long non-coding RNA from Callorhinus ursinus (northern fur seal), 527 nucleotides. RefSeq lists it as uncharacterized. The record is from RefSeq and is a predicted model, not a curated record. Lineage: Eukaryota; Metazoa; Chordata; Mammalia; Carnivora; Otariidae.